UGCAAGUCGAGCGGGUAGCAGAGAAGCUUGCUUCUCUUGAGAGCGGCGGACGGGUGAGUAAUGCCUAGGGAUCUGCCUGGUAGUGGGGGAUAACGUUCNGAAACNGACNCAUAAUACCGCAUACUCUCCUACNGGAGAAAGCAGGNCGACCUUCGGGCCUUGCGCUAUCAGAUGAGCCUAGGUCGGAUUAGCUAGUUGGUGGGGUAAUGGCUCACCAAGGCGACGAUCCGUAACUGGUCUGAGAGGAUGAUCAGUCACACUGGAACUGAGACACGGUCCAGACUCCUACGGGAGGCAGCAGUGGGGAAUAUUGGACAAUGGGCGAAAGCCUGAUCCAGCCAUGCCGCGUGUGUGAAGGAGGCCCUCGGGUUGUAAAGCACUUUCAGUGGGGAAGAAAGCCUUCCGGUUAAUACCCGGGAGGAGGGACAUCACCCACAGAAGAAGCACCGGCUAACCCCGUGCCAGCAGCCGCGGUAAU
RNAcentral lists this ribosomal RNA (478 nucleotides) under uncultured bacterium. RNAcentral describes it as "bacterial SSU rRNA". It matches the Rfam family "Bacterial small subunit ribosomal RNA", at positions 56 to 524 of the family's 1533-position model. The record is from RNAcentral.